Molecule: long non-coding RNA, 876 nt
Organism: Cercocebus atys (sooty mangabey)
Lineage: Eukaryota; Metazoa; Chordata; Mammalia; Primates; Cercopithecidae
Exons: 4
Source: RefSeq, a predicted model, not a curated record
GCUUAAAGGCGCCGCGCUGGGAACGCCGCCGUCAGGGCGAGGAAGCUGCCGGAGAGGUGAAGUGACUGUCGCUGAGGUGCCCAGGAGCCCUGAAAGACUUGUGCCUUGGACACAGCAAAAUCUGCGGGUUGCAGAAAGUCUCAACUGACCCUGGCAUACCCCGAGAUGCCGACUUUUAGAGCUGAAGAUGCAAGAAAGAUCGGGACCCUGCGAUGCACCGACCACCUUCUCUCUGGUUGGCUUUCACUGUACCUGUCUCUCGAAGUGUGUGCGCCCUGUUCCGUUGAUAGUCUUAACCUUUCGUUCCUCGCUGGCUUCCUGUGUUAAACUAUUUGCUACAAGGUCACACAAUUUUAACUAGAAGACUAAGAUGUGAACCUGGGUGGUCUGAUGUGAACACCAACACUGUGCUGCUUUGCGACAGAGAAUGUUUUAGGGAACACACAGACUAUGUACUUAACCAAAUCUGGAAUUUGCCAUAAGAUGCUGGAAUGAAAGAUAAGGACACAUACUGAAUAUAGAAGCAAGAAUCCAUUGAGAUAAAAAGACGGUAAAGGAAAAUAAACUAGUUAUCUUCUAAGGAGCAGGUAUAGUUAAAAAGGAAAUCAGGAGGAAGAAAGUUGUACAGCAGCACCUUGGAAGGGAGAUGAUUCACUUCAAAGGUACAACUGCCACUGCUUUUUAUACAAACACAUGCUUGUGGGAUUAUCAAAUACAUUGAUAAUGUCUAUAAACAUUUUUAAGGAAAUGUAAAAACUUGAAAUUCUUUUGACUAGUCUAGAUUUUCUGAUAAAGAUAACUAUUUAGGCUGGGCCUAGUGACUCAUGCCUGUAAUCCUAGGACUUUGGGAGGCUGAGAUGGGAAGAUCGCCGCUUG